RNAcentral lists this ribosomal RNA (279 nucleotides) under uncultured bacterium. RNAcentral describes it as "partial 16S ribosomal RNA". It matches the Rfam family "Bacterial small subunit ribosomal RNA", at positions 506 to 784 of the family's 1533-position model. The record is from RNAcentral.
UGCCAGCCGCCGCGGUAAUACGGAGGGUGCAAGCGUUGCUCGGAAUUACUGGGCGUAAAGCGUGCGCAGGCGGCGCAGCAAGUCAGACGUGAAAGACCGGGGCUCAACCCCGGGAGGUCGUUUGAAACUGCUGUGCUUGAGUACGGGAGAGGGGUGUGGAAUUCCCAGUGUAGGAGUGAAAUCCGUAGAUAUUGGGAGGAACACCAGUGGCGAAGGCGACACCCUGGCCCGAGACUGACACUCAGAGGCGAAAGCUAGGGUAGCAAAAGGGAUUAGAUA